ACAGAGUUCGUGCCCUCACGGGUAGAUCUCCCACCCUGUGUUAUUGUUACCUUUGUUGCUUUGGCGGGCCGCCCGGCCCCGGUCAGGCUACCGGCUCACGCUGGUAAGCGCCCGCCAGAGGACCCAAAACUCUGAAUGUUAGUGUCGUCUGAGUACUAUAUAAUGUUAAAACUUUCAACAACGGAUCUCUUGGUUCUGGCAUCGAUGAAGAACGCAGCGAAAUGCGAUAAGUAAUGUGAAUUGCAGAAUUCAGUGAAUCAUCGAAUCUUUGAACGCACAUUGCGCCCCUUGGUAUUCCGAGGGGCAUGCCUGUUCGAGCGUCAUUUCAACCCUCAAGCAAAGCUUGGUCUUGGGCUUCGCCGCUAACCCGGCGGGUCUUAAAAUCAGUGGCGGUGCCGUCGGGCCCUGAGCGUAGUAAAUCUCCUCGCUAAAGGGUCCCGGUGGAUGCUGGCCAACAACCCCCAAUUUUCUAUGGUUGACCUCGGAUCAGGUAGGGAUACCCGCUGAACUUAA
RNAcentral lists this ribosomal RNA (513 nucleotides) under uncultured fungus. RNAcentral's name for it is "eukaryotic LSU rRNA". The stretch from base 170 to 323 matches the Rfam family "5.8S ribosomal RNA". Lineage: Eukaryota; Fungi. The record is from RNAcentral.